CGAGGAGCCGCUCGCUGCAGCCUGUAGGAAGGCGGAGUUGGACAUCCAACCCCGCCCACAUCCAACUCCGCCCAUGUCCAACUCCGCCUUACGUCUAAAGCAACACCCACCUUACGUCCGUCACGAACGCCUACAUUUACUCCCGGUAAACAGGAAUUGUAGCCGAGAAAGCAGCUAAAGCAUCUAUCUGAUUUAUAUCUCCGGUUAUGGCGCAUCCAACACAUGUCCAGGCCACUCCUGACCCUUCACGGUUUGGCCAGUGUGGUGUUUUCAAAUGCCCCUGCUUCAGUUUUGACACUGACCAGCGAUUUAAUAACAGCCUACAUCUACAAAACCAUAUCAAACAAGCAGUCGAGAAUAACGGAAAGUUCAGCGUGUUGAACGUGUGACUGAUGAAGGAGAUAGAAUGGGCAACGUCUCCUUUGAACAGGUGUGAGGGUGUGGAUGUGUGUUUUUUAUUUCGGGUUAAUUUAACUGGGCCAUUUAAAAUGUUUUACUGUUGUGGUUUGUUUUCAAAAGUCUGAAUUGGGCUGAAAAGAUAAGUUGACAUUAUUUGAAAUUUCAACUUGACCUAGUGUUGACUAGUCAUUUCAAGGGCAUUUGAAGCCCAUAAGCUAUUGGAGAGCUAUCAUUUUAAAGGGAUAGAAAAGAAGAGAGCUGUUUUGUUACGUUAAGGCAGAGAUUAGUCAACAGAAUGACGCUGACUACAGUCUUCAGGCAAAAAUGCUAGCCAUUCCUACAGUAAUUAGAGAUUGGGGAUAUGAUUGAAAUAAUAAGUGCCAACUCAGAUUAAUAGAAUACCAAAAUAGUAAUUGGUUGCAGCCUUAGAAUGUUAUCUGGUCAUUUUUUUCAAUUACUAUAAUUUUCAUGAAUCAAAAUCUACAUGCUUCUAUAAUGUUUUUCACAGAUGCCCCUUAUUCUCAUAGAUACAGUUCUGGAAGAGGGUGACAAAGCUUUUUUAAAGCUGUCACUGGUUUGUCGUCUCUUCCGGGACAUUGUUUGGACAACAAUCAUUCCGGGCCUGGGCACAUUUCGAGUGGCUUGACAGUGUAGUGCCAUGAAAACAUCACAGUGCUGCAUGUAAAGACGAGUUUCGCAGGAUGUACGAACUGCAGUGCUGCCAGAACUGUCAAGAAACUUAUAAAGACUACAUACUGGGUAUGUUUGUUCUAAAUAAAUUUUGAUAAUUUUUUCCUGAGGUCAGAAAUUGGUAAGUCAAUAUAUUUAAGGUAUUGGGGCUUGAGAGAUUGUUACUUUGUGAAAGUGUGUGCUUUUACUUAUAUUA
Molecule: long non-coding RNA, 1285 nt
Organism: Astyanax mexicanus (Mexican tetra)
Lineage: Eukaryota; Metazoa; Chordata; Actinopteri; Characiformes; Acestrorhamphidae
Exons: 4
Source: RefSeq, a predicted model, not a curated record